GAGGUAGCCCGGGCUCGGCUUAGGAAGGCAGCGGGACUCGAGGCCUUGGGGUCCGAGUCCGAACUCGCUCCUCUAGCGCCGGGCGGGGAGCGAGUGGGAGAGCGGCCGCGAAGCUCCAGUGUUGAAAACGCACCCCUCCCAGCUUUUUGCAAGGCCUACUUGGGGGCGGAGAGACAAGCAAGCUGUCAUGUUAUAAGCAGCCCUUUGAGGGGUCCAUGUGAUGUCAAGGAAUGAAGUCUCUAGCCAACAUUUAAUGAGGAACUGAGGCCCACCAACAACCUUGAGUGAGCUUGGAAGUAGCUCCUUCAGCAUCAGUUGGGUGUCGAGAUGACUACUGACAGCUUGACUGCAACUUCAUGAGAGUCUUCUGGACCAGAACCACUCAGUUAAGUGGCUCCCAGAUUCCUGAUCCUCAGAAACUCUGAGAAAUAAUGAAUGUUGGUUGUUUUAAAAUGUUUCAGUUAUCUACGGCCAACUGGGUAAACCAAAUAGAUGCUCUUUACAAAUAUUUUUUAACUUCUUAAAAUAUCUCAUUGAGGAUUCCGUUCCAAGAUGGCCAAAUAGGAACAGCUCUGGUCUGCAGCUCCCAGUGUGAUCGACGCAGAAGACGGAUGAUUUCUGCAUUUCCAACUGAGGUACCAGUUGAAUGAAGAGAAGCACACCUCCUCCCCAGAACAGUACUGCAGCUAUGAUAUAACGCCUGGGCAGGGUUCGCAAUAGCAGCCAGGCUGUAAUGUAAGCUGGAAUUUCAAUCAAGGCAGAGAGGAAACAGUUCAGAUGGAGUCUUGCUCUGCUGCCCAGGCUGGAGUACAGUAGUGCGAUCAAGGCUCACUGGAACCUCCACCUCCUGGGUUCAAGUGAUUCUCCUGCCUCAGCCUCCCAAGUAGCUGGGAUUACAGCUGCCCGGACACGAAGGAGCCGAGGAGCACGCCUACGAAGAACAGGGAGGUGGUGAGGGGCACCUUCCAGUUGUCCUCACACACCAGAUUCCACUGCCAAGGAAGACAGCAUGAAGCGUGAGCCCAACCCUGAGGCAGACCUCAACCCCAGCCCAGCUCUGAGGGAAUAUUAGCACGGCUGGCGGGCAGACUCUCCUCCCCUGGGCCAGGAUAUUGCCUUUGUACAAAGGGCAUAGGCCUUGCAGCCCUGGGUUUGACUGGCCUGUGCCGGGACUGGGGAGAGUAACCUGGGGCAGGUCACUGCCCUCCCUGAAACUCAGGAUCCUCUUUGGAAAGGGAGGGUGAUGCUCCUACUCCGCUCGCAUUACAUAGCAAGAAGCCAGCCAAGGCCAUGGCUGUGACUGGUGACCCCUCAGCUGUGAGGCAGUCCAAAGUAAAGGUGGCACUGCAUCUUCAGAAGCCAGCCUAGUGCGGAGGGGAGGUGUUUGAAAAGCCCAAAGGGCAGGGCAGAGGGCAUGGCCACUUGGUCCAGGCGUAAAAUUUCUUUUCCCUUGUUGAAAAGUGCAAGUGGUUCCAGGAGCUCUGUGACUUUAUUUUCUGAGCAGGCCCCUCUGAGAAAUCAUGUGGUCCCUGGUCCACUCACGCCUAGGCCAAGCUUGUGGCCUGAUUCGGGGCCCCAUCGUUCUGGGGCCUACUUACUCCUCUCCAGGGCUCCCUAGCUCCCCUCCUACAUCCCUACACCCUCCUUCCCAUCCAGUCUUUCCAGAAGUGUGGUCCCUCCCAUUCCCUAGGGUCUGUGGGAUGCUGCUGCCCUAACAAGUCCCUGCCAGUGCAUCUACAAAAUGAGUUUCAGCCAGAGUUUCAGUUUGACUUAAGUCAAUUAAGCAACAUCUCAAGGGAGGUGACAAAAAUUUCAAAGUGUGUUUAGUGACCUUUCAUUUAUUAAAAACAAAUAAAUAAACAAACAGAUGCCAAUG
This 1876-nucleotide long non-coding RNA is filed under the name Homo sapiens (human). RNAcentral's name for it is "HSALNT0329513". Lineage: Eukaryota; Metazoa; Chordata; Mammalia; Primates; Hominidae. The record is from RNAcentral.